UACAGAGGGUGCAAGCGUUAUUCGGAAUUACUAGGUGUAAAGGGUGCGUAGGUUGUUUAGUAAGUCAUAUGUGAAAAUCCGGAGCUCAACUCCGGACCUGCAUCUGAAACUAUUAGACUAGAGUAUAGGAGGGGAAAACGGAAUUCCUGGUGUAGCGGUGAAAUGUGUAGAUACCAGGAGGAACACCGAUGGCGAAAGCGGUUUUCUGGCCUAAUACUGACACUGAGGCACGAAAGCUAGGGGAU
This 245-nucleotide ribosomal RNA is filed under the name uncultured bacterium. RNAcentral's name for it is "partial 16S ribosomal RNA". It matches the Rfam family "Bacterial small subunit ribosomal RNA", at positions 524 to 768 of the family's 1533-position model. The record is from RNAcentral.